UCGUCUAUAUACGUAUAGCAUAUCAAUAAGCGGAGGAAAAGAAACUAACAAGGAUUCCCCUAGUAACGGCGAGUGAAGCGGGAAGAGCUCAAAUUUGAAAUCUUAAAGGGUUUCCCUUUACGAAUUGUAGUUUAAAGAAGUGUUUUCUGUUGGAGUUUCGGUAAAAGUUCUUUGGAAUAGGACAUCAUAGAGGGUGAGAAUCCCGUAUUUGACCGUUACUUUCCAGCUGUGUGAUACACUUUCAAAGAGUCGGAUUGUUUGGGAAUGCAGUCCAAAAUGGGUGGUAAAUUUCAUCUAAAGCUAAAUAUUGGCGAGAGACCGAUAGCGAACAAGUACCGUGAGGGAAAGAUGAAAAGAACUUUGAAAAGAGAGUUAAACAGUACGUGAAAUUGUCAAAAGGGAAGCGUUUGACACCAGUGUUGUUUUUCCGAAAAUCAAUUACGAAUGUUUUAUUUUUGAGGAGUUAUGACUUCAUCGGCUUGCUCCUUUCUUUAUGAAACUUUCUUAAUGCACUUUUCGGUUAACAAGUCAACAUCAAUUUCUUUUGUUGUAAAAGGGUAUGAGGAAGGUGGCUUUCUUUUCGGAGAAAGUGUUUAUAGCCUUGUGCCUCUGCAAUCGGAGAGAUUGAGGUCUGCAGCGUAGAUCCUUCGGGGUUAGAUACGUUUGUGCUAAGUUAUAGCUUUUCAUAGACAACUUGUUGACUAUGUUUAGUCUUGUAGCUUACUCGCUGACGCUAUUUUACCUACGCUUAGGAUGUUGAUAUGCAUGACUGAUAU
This 776-nucleotide ribosomal RNA is filed under the name uncultured Neocallimastigales. Its description in RNAcentral is "partial large subunit ribosomal RNA". It matches the Rfam family "Eukaryotic large subunit ribosomal RNA", at positions 25 to 643 of the family's 3401-position model. The record is from RNAcentral. Lineage: Eukaryota; Fungi; Neocallimastigomycota; Neocallimastigomycetes; Neocallimastigales.